Molecule: ribosomal RNA, 605 nt
Filed under: uncultured bacterium
Lineage: Bacteria
Description: bacterial SSU rRNA
Rfam family: Bacterial small subunit ribosomal RNA
Source: RNAcentral
CCUACGGGAGGCAGCAGUAGGGAAUAUUGGGCAAUGGAGGCAACUCUGACCCAGCCAUGCCGCGUGAACGAAGAAGGCGCUAUGCGUCGUAAAGUUCUUUUAGAGGGGGCGAAAACACUUGAUUCAUCAAGUACUGACGGUACCUUCGGAAUAAGCACCGGCUAACUCUGUGCCAGCAGCCGCGGUAAUACAGAGGGUGCAAGCGUUAUCCGGAAUCACUGGGUUUAAAGGGUGCGUAGGCGGGAUUAUAAGUCAGAGGUGAAAUCUCGUCGCUUAACGACGGAAUUGCCUUUGAUACUGUUUUUCUUGAAAUUUGUUGAGGUUGGCGGAAUGAGACAUGUAGCGGUGAAAUGCUUAGAUAUGUCUUAGAACACCGAUUGCGAAGGCAGCUGACUGGACAAUAUUUGACGCUGAGGCACGAAAGCGUGGGGAUCAAACAGGAUUAGAUACCCUGGUAGUCCACGCCCUAAACGAUGUUACUUGCUGUUUGUUUUCGGAAUGAGUGNGAGAGAAGAGAUAGUAACACCNGGAGUACGCCGCGAGGUAGAACGACAANAGAGUAGACGCGUGAGACGUGCCGACGGACGACGACGAGGGAGGUUAGG